GGAAGGGUUGAUUGGAGGUCUGAGUGUUCCCUGCAAACCAAUGGGGUGCAUCGUUUCUAGCCCACUACUUGGAAUUCCUGGUAUUAACCCAAAUGCAUUCCAUGGUGCAGUUUGUGCAGUAGAAACACUCGGCAAACCCCUUCCAGCAAAUAGACUAGGAGGAAAAGACCCAUGGUGAACAAUUUGGGAAGCAAUAUCAACAGGACUAAAC
This 211-nucleotide unclassified non-coding RNA is filed under the name Hevea brasiliensis (rubber tree). Lineage: Eukaryota; Viridiplantae; Streptophyta; Magnoliopsida; Malpighiales; Euphorbiaceae. The record is from RNAcentral.